RNAcentral lists this ribosomal RNA (253 nucleotides) under uncultured bacterium. Its description in RNAcentral is "partial 16S ribosomal RNA". It matches the Rfam family "Bacterial small subunit ribosomal RNA", at positions 524 to 776 of the family's 1533-position model. The record is from RNAcentral.
UACGUAGGGUGCGAGCGUUAAUCGGAAUUACUGGGCGUAAAGGGUGCGCAGGCGGUUUUGUAAGCCAGAUGUGAAAUCCCCGGGCUUAACCUGGGAAUGGCAUUUGGGACUGCAAGGCUGGAGUGUGGCAGAGGAGACUGGAAUUCCUGGUGUAGCAGUGAAAUGCGUAGAUAUCAGGAGGAAUACCGAUGGCGAAGGCAGGUCUCUGGGCUGACACUGACGCUCAUGCACGAAAGCGUGGGGAGCAAACAGG